CCGCGAUAGGCCAAGAUUUCUGGAAUGGAUUUUGGCUGAAAUCUACAUGGCCGCUGGAUUGGACUACGGCCGAUCAGGCUGUUGGUGAGGUAAUGGCCCACCAAACCUGUAACCGGUACGGGCUUUGAGAGAAGGAGCCCGGAGAUGGGCACUGAGACAAGGGCCCAGGCCCUAUGGGGCGCAGCAGGCGCGAAACCUCUGCAAUAGGCGAAAGCUUGACAGGGUUACUCUGAGUGAUGCCCGCUAAGGGCAUCUUUUGGCACCUCUAAAAAUGGUGCAGAAUAAGGGGUGGGCAAGUCUGGUGUCAGCCGCCGCGGUAAUACCAGCACCCCGAGUGGUCGGGACGAUUAUUGGGCCUAAAGCAUCCGUAGCCGGUUCUGCAAGUCUUCCGUUAAAUCCACCUGCUCAACAGAUGGGCUGCGGAGGAUACUACAGGGCUAGGAGGCGGGAGAGGCAAGCGGUACUCAGUGGGUAGGGGUAAAAUCCUCUGAUCCACUGAAGACCACCAGUGGCGAAGGCGGCUUGCCAGAACGCGCUCGACGGUGAGGGAUGAAAGCUGGGGGAGCAAACCGGAUUAGAUACCCGGGUAGUCCCAGCUGUAAACGAUGCAGACUCGGUGAUGCAUUGGCUUGUGGCCAAUGCAGUGCCGCAGGGAAGCCGUUAAGUCUGCCGCCUGGGAAGUACGUACGCAAGUAUGAAACUUAAAGGAAUUGGCGGGGGAGCACCACAAGGGGUGAAGCCUGCGGUUCAAUUGGAUUCAACGCCGGAAAUCACUAGUGCGGCCGCCUGCAGGUCGACCAUAUGGGAGAGCUCCCAACGCGUUGGAUGCAUAGCUUGAGUAUUCUAUA
Molecule: ribosomal RNA, 848 nt
Filed under: uncultured bacterium
Lineage: Bacteria
Description: bacterial SSU rRNA
Rfam family: Archaeal small subunit ribosomal RNA
Source: RNAcentral